UAAUGCAACAUGAGAAAAGUGUCGGUGUUCAAUUGCAUUAUUUGGUGUGGAAUAUUCUGUCAUUCAUUUGGAUGUGACUGAAGUUACAGACUUUUAUUAUUGACAUUGUCGUAUGCCAUUAACUAGCCUGUCAAGUCUAUUUUAAGGUUGAAUAUGCCAUAAAUUCUUAGAUGAAUUUUACAUAUAGUCUAUCAAAAUAACUCAUCUUUGCCUUUUUCCUCUUCGCAUAGCAGACACGAAUGCUACACAAUUAGUGUUUUUUUUUUUUUUGGUAUUUUCAGCUUUGUUUGGAAAGUGGAGAAUCCUCGCAAGUGGUUUGGUGCCUUUUGUUCCUUUGCAUCCUAGUAAAUACAUUUCUUGCCAUUCUUUUUUUCUUUAUUUUUUUGCACCACAGACAUAUAUACUGAUCAGUAAUUUUUUUUUUCUAAUUUUCAGCUUUGGUCCGAAAAUAGAAAAGGUUUUGCAGUGAAAUUUCUGUUCAUUCCAGGUUAGUUUACCUCUGAUUUGUAUCAUUAAUUUGCUGAAAUUUUUGUUAAUAUUAUAUGGGCUGAUAUUUUAAAUAUUUUUCCAGGUUAGUUUUCCAGUAAAAGAGACUUUUUCUCUUGACAUCUAAACAAAAGGUUGGAUUUGUGUGUGCAAGGUCACAUCAUUAGCAAACGGCUUAGCAAAGAAACAUCCAAAUUUUCUUCAAGUCCGAGAGAAAAAUAUUUGCAUUUAGCUAGUUAAGUUAAGGAUCAUUCAUUACAUUCAACGAAAAGUUAUGAUAAGAGAGAUUGUAGGUUGUUCUAUUCUCUUAUAAGGAGAAUUGCAAUUACCCGAUCCCUUGUGUUUAAGUUUUUUGGUAAGUACGCUUCUCUAUCUAGUAAUGUCUUCUGAAUUCUGAUUUAGUCUCUAAUCAUUAAUUCAUUACUAUAAAAUAAUAAUACUCCUAAUUCUGAUUUCUUCAACAAGUUCAAUGGGAAGAUUUAUAUGGUAGCAGAGUCUCGAUUAUCAGAGCUUCCUAUGGAGAAGGCAAAAAAGAGUGUACCUAAUGGACCCGUUAAUGAUUCUGAGAGCACAAAUCCUAAGACAAAGUGCUGGUGCUUCAGAACCGUAAAUAAUUUUCAAGCAAGAAAACCAAAUUUUCACAAAUCCUAAUGGACCCGUCAAUAAUUCCCUUCAACUCAAUUCAAUCAAAGGCAAUAUACGUUCAAAUACCAAGAAAACCAAAUACAAAUCACAACUUUAUCAAUCACCAUCUCCACACGUAUCAAAUUUCAAGCAAGAAAAUAACCAGACUCACAUGUGACUUUAAUUGAAGUGCUGGUGCUUGAGCUUCAGUGUGGUGGCAGGCUGGUAGCACGAAAAUUGGAGAAGAACGGGUGCUGGAGCUUCAAACUUUGAAGCUUGAAACGGCCAAAAUCUGGCGGCAACAGAGGAUUUCGUAGCUUGAUAUUCUUACCGAAGCAAUGGCUGCUGGAGCUUGAAGCUUUAAAGCUUGAAGCCUUGAAGCUGUCAGCUGUAGCUUGUGGGUUCUUGGUAGAAGCCGCAGCGAUUUGUCUUGUGGGUUCUUGGUAAGAGCUGUAGCCGAAGCUUGAGGUGGUUUGAUGGUUGGGAUUUGAUUUGGGCAGCGGAGAGGAGAAGAGAAACGACAAAGGUCUGCUUGAGGAGAAGAUGAAGAAGACCCGAAGCUUUUUUUUGACGGAACUUUUUGACUUUGAGGCAAAAUUUGUUAAAACAUUGCAACUAAAGCCUGCAAUUCUUUGAUAAAUUACAAGCCUACUCCAAAUGUUUUCAUUUACUUACAAAAUGAGCCUUGUAUUUCACAAAUUCAAAAAUUUGUGGGAUCGAAAUAGAAUCGUAGGAUCUUACCGAUCCUAUGCAGAUUCAAGGAAUUUGCGAUUCUGAGUGCGAUCUGGAUCGAUUUUGACUUUCUCGAUCGUAGGAUUGUAAGAUUCGGAUCGCGAUUGUACGAUCCUACUAUCCGAAUCGCAAUUUUACCUAUUAUCUGAAUCGCAAUUUUAACAACCUAUCAUGUACUCUUUGGCUAUGUAAGCAAUGUUUGGUCCAGUUAUUUGACUAGCACUGAUGUUUAUACAAUUGGGACUUAAUGAAUUAGAAUAUUACAUUAUGGAUUAUGUAACUUUUUUUUUUUUUGCAUGAGUGGGUUUAGAUUUUCAAGCCAAAUGUGCAUUUCUGCAUUUAGUCAUAUCAUCUAACAAGUGCUUAUGCAUUAAGCAUCUGGAUUAACUAGUGUAAAGAAUAUUUUGUUUCUAAUUCCUUGCAAUUGCAUAUGAUAUGAUAAAUUCCCACAAUUGUUUGUAAAGGUCCAUUAUACAAAACUUUUCCCAAAAGAAGAAUGGUCCAUUAUACAAGAACUUCUUGCCUGCGUUCAUUGAUGCAACAUGCAUUUAAGAGGACAAAUGGGUAGUUUUGAGCCCUACAGCUUUCCAGAAUAGGCAUUUAUUGCAGAAUGGUUGCGCCACCAAUAUCUGGUGAACAAAGCCAUACGCAUUGCAGCAAUGCCCUUUUGCCUUUGUUGCUUAUAUAUAGUUACAUCAGUUCCAAAAGAGCAUCUGAUGCCAUUUGUUUCCUUGUUUAACUUCUACAGUACAGUCUCCUUGCUUCCCUAGUUCUCUCCUUUCUUCACAGUAUCAGUCUAUUCUCCGAAGCGGUUUGCUCCUCUAGUUUUCUCCUUUCCUCGUAUCAGUCUACUUUCCUUUAUUUGCUACUUUUGUCUGCUGGAAGCCACGAGGACUUCUCUCUUACUGCAGGUAACUCCCACAACUUAUGCUAUUUGUUUACCUCAAUCAAGGAGUCCAGGGAAUCUUUUUUCAAGAAAGGAUGUUGCAUCUUUGAUUGGUCUGCAUUCCAAGUUUCAUUUGACUUGCCUAAAAGGAAAAAAAGUUUCAUUUGUCUUGAAACCUGAUGCACCGUUAGUUUCAAGCCACAGAUUAACCUGGUCUCAAGGGACAAAAUUUUGCUCUCAAAAUGACCCAAACUCCUAGUCUCCUUUCAAUUUAUCUGUCACUCUGCCUGCCAGUAGCAAAUAACAUGUAAAGCCAACGGACUUGAGUCUGUAAAUGAUGGAAGAUAUAUACUAAAUUUCGGUAAUCAUGUGUUCAGCAAUACUCUUGUUUGGUGCUCUGAGAUGCAAGUCCACUGUGCACCCAAUAACCUCUAAAAAUACUUAAUUAUCUUGUCAUCUGGAAAAAGAUUGGAAAGUGUCUUCUAUGUUACCUUCUGACACACCCUAUUAGAUCAUGUACAGAAUUUUAUGAAUCUCUUCGUAUAUUUGCAUUCGAAACUACAAUGAUGAUUCAGUCGGAUAAAAACAUCAUUUUGCUAGUUCUCCUAUCUUUUUACACAGAAAACUGAAGCAUGACAAACGCAAGAGUUUGUAAUUAACUAAUUAUAUCAAACCAAGUGUACAACAACAGAUUACAGGAAUUAUGCGUGUUUAUCUCUAGAAGGGUUCACUCACAUUCAUUUGCCUUCAAAUCACUACACGAAAUACAACAACUCAAUACUCUCUACUGAAGUUGGAAGUUCUUUGAUGGAUCCUACAAAACAAAAAUUGUUUUUAUUUCUUGUCCUGAUCUUUCAUAUACAUUCUUUGUGAUCUGCAUC
RNAcentral lists this long non-coding RNA (3609 nucleotides) under Coffea arabica (coffee). Its description in RNAcentral is "long non-coding RNA (CARA_LNC003165)". The record is from RNAcentral. Lineage: Eukaryota; Viridiplantae; Streptophyta; Magnoliopsida; Gentianales; Rubiaceae.